AGGCGAGGCUUUCUCGCGUCAUUAGAGUUUUGAUUAGUUUGAGAGCUAAUGAGCUUUUAAACGAGCUUAUCAGUUAUCUACAAAUUCAUAUGUAUGUCGACGACCAUCAUAGCUGGGACUUUUAAACUGUCUGGAAAGCAUCUACGAUUCAUCUCAUGCCGAGCUCCCAAUUCUGAACAUCCCAGUAUUAGCCAGUGUACUAUUAUCAAAACUAAAGAUUAAAGGAGACCUUCUUAAAAACAGUUAGACCGAGACCAGCAUACAUAAGCCUAGAAUAUGCCACCAAAUCGAUAUUGUGAUACUAUAUCUGCACCCAAUUCUGCUUACCUCCUUCUAAGCUUUGUAAACUAAUUUCGCAUUUGAUUCCGUUAUUAUAGAAAUUUAUUUUUAAUAAGUUUUGCGAAACUUAUGCCAAUUUUACAGCAAAUGUCAAGCUAUCUUCGCCAGUUUUACGUCAAACCAGUUUUCUAAAAUGUCAAUUUCCGUCACCUAGUGGUCGUUUUUCAGUAUUGAAGAACUUUAUUAAGCUUUGGCUCAAACUUUCCGAUGAGCUUUUGGUAAAUAAGCUUUUGGUAGAUUAGCUUGCAGUCGAAAUUUGAAUGGAGGGGAAAUUUCUUAAAUAGCGGUAAAUAUGUAUCAAUGUACUCCUCGUGUAAAAUACAUAUAUAUUUUACUUUACUUGUCUCCCGAACCCCUAUCAACAGCGACUUUUGGAGCGGAGACAAGCGCUCCGGUACGUAAUUGACUCUCGCAGAGAAAAUGGCAUACAAGGCCAACAAGUACCUCCGCCAAAAAUUAAAUUUUAAAAAUAGAAGUAUAUACAUAUAUAAAUAUAUAUGUAGGAGGACUACUAUCCGAAGGACACCAGUAAAGUCGCCAUAUGGCAGUAGGACUUUGAGGAAUGGCAGUGCAGUGCGAGUGCUGCUGCUGAUUGAAAGCGCAAAGGGAUUGAUCGUAUUCUUGACUAUUGCAGUUCAUAUAAAACUAAUCUUGUGUGCAUGGGAUAUAUGAAUCCGGUAAUGCAUUAAGCCUUGGAGAUGGUAUAGAAGGUGCUAAUCGAUUUAUAUCCAAUAUUCGGUAAAUUUUCAAUCCAAAAGCGAAUCCAUGAAGAGAUUUCUCAAGAAUUCACAAGCUGAAGUUAGUUUUUAAUUGAAUCUCAAAGUUGCUCACUUUAGUUUUUCCCAUAUAAAAUGUUGUCCUGAUCAAGGAUGCUUUUGAAUAAAAUAGCUAAAUUUACAACCCUAUGUAGUAAGAGUUUUUUAUUUGUGGCGUUAAAAAAAUUACUGUCGUAUUCCAAGAGAUAUACAUAAUAAGCGUACACCGAACAUUAGCCCGAUAUUCCAUCUAUAACGCAGCCUUCAUCAAGAACCAGGGACCGAAAAUAAUAGCUAUAAGCUAAAAAAAAUUCCCACCCGGAACAGCACACAUAUGCUGAGUGCCAGUGUUUACCUGAAACGUGAGCCAAUUAUCGGAAUGGAAAUUGGGGAUUUUACCGUGUGCCUUCGCCUUCGACAGGCUCCUUCUUCAUUUCGAGCUCAAGAAGAUUCAAGUUGAUAAUCUGAUUUCAAAUCGCCAGCUCGCAACGUAAUAAUCAUCAAUAACUAUCCAGCCAGCCAGCCAGACAGACAGACUGACAGACAGACGGAUAGACAGACAGCCAGACAACGUCAUUAUAUAAAAACAGGAAACGCAACUUGGCUGCAAUUUCUAUUCAUAAGGCGACUAAGCCGCUUAGCUCCGUCUUCCCCAGGCCGCAGCCGUACCCACAGAAAUCCGGACAAAUUGGCUGCACACGAAUGCCAGAAGGAGGACAAUACCAAUCAAAACGUCAAAAUCAAAGUCUCCAGACAAUGAAACUAACGUGUGAAAGAAUUACGACUUUGAUUUCGGGAAUAUUUCAUAAUUCUCUUAAUAUCCAUCAGUCGUGGAACUAUUCAAAAUGACUCAAUUUUAUUUUUCCAGUUUAUUUCUUAUUUUCCUUUGUUUGCUGGCUGUCAACAGCUACUGUGAUGGAUGCGGACUACCUAGCUGCUACCUAGCUCUGCCUUUUUGCUUUAUCGGAAACUCUCGUUGCCUGCUUUUUGUAUGGGAUAUUUCUUUCGGCGGUUGUGGUAAAUGCAGUUCUGUACAAAAACAACAAACUUCGAAUUGAUAGGAAAGCAGAAGAUUUCAUUUGAGGGCAUGGCGCCGCGAACAGCUUGGGUGGCAGUGGCAUCGGACCAACAGCUAUCAGCGGGCGGUCACUCUAAUUUUUUACGUGACAGAAGCGUUAACAAAGGAACUACACGGAAAGAUACCAAAGAGGGGCCGAAGAGGGGCCGA
Long non-coding RNA from Drosophila pseudoobscura, 2322 nucleotides. RefSeq lists it as uncharacterized. The transcript is spliced from 3 exons. Lineage: Eukaryota; Metazoa; Arthropoda; Insecta; Diptera; Drosophilidae. The record is from RefSeq and is a predicted model, not a curated record.